RNAcentral lists this ribosomal RNA (497 nucleotides) under uncultured bacterium. RNAcentral describes it as "partial 16S ribosomal RNA". It matches the Rfam family "Bacterial small subunit ribosomal RNA", at positions 1 to 507 of the family's 1533-position model. The record is from RNAcentral.
GGGGGGGGGGGGGGGGGGGGGGGGGGGGGGGAGGUAGGGGGAGGAGAGGAGGGGGUUGGUGGGGUGACGUUCGCGGGGGACGGGUGCGUAUCGCGUGGAUGACCUACCGAUCAGACUGGGGUCACUUCGGGACACGGGCGCUCGUACCGGCUCAUCUAUUGCAGCGCAUUGUUCACUAGUGAAAGACGGUUUUGCUUUCAAUUAUAGAUGGAUCCGCGACGAAUUAUCUAGUUGGUAAGUGAACGGCUUAACAAGUCAACGCUGCGCAGCCGACCUGAGAGGGGGAUCGGCCACACUGGAACUGAGACACGGUCCAGACUCCUACGGGAGGCAGCAGUAGGGAAUCUUCCGCAAAGGGCGAAAGCCUGACGGAGCAACGCCGCGUGAGUGAUGAAGGUCUUCGGAUCGUAAAACUCUGUUAUUAGGGAAGAACAAAUGUGUAAAUAACUAUGCACGUCUUGACGGUACCUAAUCAGAAAGCCACGGCUAACUACGUG